This 1227-nucleotide long non-coding RNA is filed under the name Lathyrus oleraceus (garden pea). Its description in RNAcentral is "Pisum sativum (pea) long non-coding RNA (PSAT_LNC022621)". Lineage: Eukaryota; Viridiplantae; Streptophyta; Magnoliopsida; Fabales; Fabaceae. The record is from RNAcentral.
UUCUUUAUUUUCCACUCUCUCUCUUCAAAUCAAAACCAAACGAAAGGGCUCUGUACAGAGCGCCUCCCUCUGCAAACCCUAAAGCUCCUCUCUCUUAGAGAGGACGACUGGAGACGGCGGCUCACGGCGGAGCCUCCGCUCUCCUUCGUCGCUUCAUUCUCUCCCGUUCCUAACUCUGAUUCAUGAACCAACCCUCUUUCUCCUUCUCAUAAUUUCGAGACACACAAUAUAAAAUCAUGCGAAAACAAACUCAAUCAAAAUAUCUACAAAAAAGGGAAACUCAUGGAAGAAGAUAGGUGUGAAUCGUUUACCAAAUCGGAAGCUCUGAAAAUCUCCGGGUUCGGUGAGAUCCUCCGGAUGUCGGCAACGGUUCUCUUCGGCGAGCGAUUCUUCAGUGAGGUGAACUACUUUCCCUUUGCUUUUCCGUAAGUUUUUAAGGUUUUUUUAGGAAUUUCUUGAUGUGUUCUUCUGGGUUUGAAAGAAAUUGAUUUGUUGUUCUUGUGUUCGUUUUUAGGGUUUUUAGGAAUAUUAAUGUGUUGUUCUUGCAAAAGUUCUUUGUUUAGUGAGACAAGAGUACACACACAAAGAGAAAAAUGCUCUGUUGUUGCUGUUAACUUUUUAGGGUUUUUAGAGAAAAUUAAUUUGUUGUUCUUGGUGUUGUGUUCUUAUGUGUCUUUUUGUUGUUGUGUUCUUGCUGUGUGUUUUUUUAAGUCUUGAAAACUCCUUUCUUUUUCGAUUUUCCCAUCCCAGAUUAUGUGGGAUUUAAUUUCUGUGGAUUUGUUCUGUUUUAAGUUAUUAUUGCAAUGCCUUUUUGGAUGUUCAAGUUAACCUGCUGGGUAAAGUUUCAAACUGAGUAAUUUAUUUAGUUAUUUUUUAGUUUUUUAAGCGCUUUUGAAAAAUACUUUUUUAAAUAAGCUGUUUUUUCUUCUCUGCAGGUUAUAGGAAUGAAGUGACCUUGAUGGAAUGGAAAAGUGGCGGUAAGAAAGCACACUUGGAGGCGCGCCCAAGUCCAAGGGGUUUUCAAUUUGAUUACUUGGUCUUGGUCAUUAGAAUUAGGAACAUGUUUUUGCAGCAAAUUCCACUUAGUUAAAAUGUGUAUUUGGACUUAUCUGUAACUUAUUGAAUUAAAUCUAAUAGCCACUAAUAACUAUGUAUUCAACCUUUUAAGCUUUCAAAACUUAACUCAAUAUUUAUUCAUGCUAAUCAAUUUCAACUUUUAAAAACAAC